Molecule: long non-coding RNA, 3052 nt
Organism: Anguilla rostrata (American eel)
Lineage: Eukaryota; Metazoa; Chordata; Actinopteri; Anguilliformes; Anguillidae
Exons: 2
Source: RefSeq, a predicted model, not a curated record
CGCUAUUUGCCUAACGAACUGCGGAAGCGCAUUCCGGUGCCCACGCAGGUGCUUCUUCGUUAACUGUGGAGCCCAAUCGCCUCUUUUAUUUGCCCCAGGCAUUUAAAAGGCCUCAUUAUUCAUUAAGCUAGCUGCAUUCAAAAUCCGUUUUAGAAAGACGCUAUGUUUUAAAAGGGUGACAGUGCUAGGCAGAUGAAUUUGUGCUAAGUCUGAAAAUGCAGGCAUCCCAUUUCGUGGUGAUUUCAUUAUGGCGUGUGCUAUUUACAGCUGCUCUAGACGACCAUAAAAUAAUCCUCCUCUUAAGUUUUUCGGUAUCCGAGUCAUUUUUACUAUUUCCUUUAGCCUACUUAACCAAAUAAUUACUUGGCAGAAAGCGUAAUCAGCUUGCUAUAUUUGGUAGUCCAGUAGUAGCCUGUGCUAAAACAGUUCGCAACUUCGGCUACCAAGCCAUUUGACUAGCUAGCUAACCUUAACCGGCAAACAUUCAAUCUGUCAAACGUGUUUGGCGGCUUGUCAGUCGUGUACAUUCCGUAAAUGUCUACCUGGGCCAUGCUUCACGCAUGUGACAAAGCUACUAUAAUCCCGAUUUUGGGAUAAACACUUUUUCAGUUUCACGAAGCGAAUUAAGAGUUUCAAGGUUCAUUUGCUGAAUAUACAACACACGAUGAAAUCACACACACAGAAUUUAACGAAAUUAACCAUCUUGGCAUUUAGAAAGGAACAUGUUUUUAGCAUUUAAGAGACCGACAAGCUAGGCAUUUAAGACAGUGGUUCUCAGAAUCGGUUCUGGGGGCUCCUUGCGUAUAUUGGCUUUUCUCCAUUGGUUUUGAUGAUUUACAAGAAAAAAAUAAUAGCCUAAUAAUAAUUAGAAAUUCAACGCAGGCUACAUUAUUUUUCUUCAUGCACCAGGUGGAAAACUUGCCGUACAAAGUGCGUUGUCAUAUUUACACGCCUGCAGAUCAGUUAUUAAAAUACUUGGUAGAUUUGUUCAUCACCGCUGAGUGUUAAUUUUUGUUCGGUAGAAAGUGAUUUGCGAACGAUCGGUCACCUAGCGUCACCCAGCAAGUGAACACCACAAACGGCGAUGGAGUAGCUAGUAGUAGCAGGCUCAUUAUCUGACUGGCGAAAACCUACGACGAUAACUUGCUCGGUUAACAGAUCUACCAGACAGUUAUACGAAAAUUUGCCUAGUCAAAUCACCAGUAGCCUACACAUCUCCGAUUGAUUGACCAUCAGUGUAGUCAAUGUUCUUCCCCUGUGGUUCAUAUUGCUAACGCGUGAGCUAACCACGGACAGCCUACCUAGCUCACUGGCAAGCUGAUAUGCUAGCUAAGCAUAUUCGUUUUGCUGAGAAACAUAAAUUGAAGAUAACUGAACAUAGCCUAAUUGUAUUUUUAAUGUCAUACAUAACGUGAUUACAUGACACAGUACAGUCACGGAUGGAAACUAAACUCCGUAAACAUCUGAUAAUAUAUUUUAAAACAUAACGGCAGACAGUCAGCUAGCCUCGUUCAGGUUGAGGGGCUUUUCCGCACCGGACUGUCAAUCAAAUUGUAAAAAUCACAAGACCGCUUAACUCUAUGGUUUUGGCUCCAAAUCGAGAAAAUGGCCGCGCCCGCCAUUGAGCUUCAAAACGUGUUUUAGAGACCCACGGAGAGUCAAUGGGUGACGUCACAGUAGCUGUGUCCAUAUUUUUUACAGUCUCUGAUCUUAACCCAAUCUCUCCUGGUCAACACACUUUCCCCUUACGUCACAUCCUUACUAGGGUAGUCUUCCAACUACUCUCGGGAAAGUAAUACAGUGCCUCCUAGUGGUCAGAAUACACUCAACCUGUAACAUCUAUUAUUGAACACAACAAAUUGCAUGGUAUGAAACGGGAAUGAACUAUUUUUUCUUGAUAAAAUCAUUGUUUUCAUAGAACUUACGACCAGAGAUGUUUGCUUAACAACGGUGCGACUAGAACUACAAACCAGAGUGUCUGCAUAAGGACGGUCCAAUUAGAACUACGAAGCAGAGUUUUGCUUGACAACGGUAAGAUAAUAUGCCCAAACGCCCGCAGAAGAACAUUUCACGUCCAGCUGAUUAAAUCUAUAAAAAUCAAUAAAUAUAAAAGCAAACUCAUUGUCAUUGUUGGUACACGGCAUGAAAUUGAUGUGAAAUUACAGGGAAAUUCCUACAGUAAUCUGCUGUUUUAUUGAUAUACGGCACAUUGCUUAAGACAGAACAGCAUUGUGGGCGUUUUGCUCUUAACUGCAUAACACCGUUUGAAUUUUCAGUAAUUAACUGGAAAUUGCUAUGGAUAUUGGGAAGCCGUUGGUUAGUAGUGGCGACAGAGAAUUUGCUAACAAAGCAAUGCCAAGUUUCGAGUGUCACACCUAAUAGGCUACGCGAAUUUAAAAGCAACCCUGUACUUUGAGUAUUUUUUGUUGCAGCUGGCUAGAGUGUCGCCGGAUUGUGCAGGUAGGCUACGUGCGUUUCGAAUUCAUCAAACUAGUUAGUAUCAUAACGGCCAAUCAUUCGCCAGCGAUAGCUUAGUAUGAAAGCAUGUUUACAUGUCAGUAUUGUGGUCACCAAUGCUUAACGAAGUAUGCGUUUGUUAGGCAUAUGAAAGUACAUGCGAGUCUUCCAACCGCGUUGUUUAAAUGCGCCUUUUUUGAUUGCUCCCGUUCGUUCAGAAACAUGACGCAGUUGGAAUGUCAUGUAUAUCGAGAGCAUAAAGAUAAGAGGAGAGCACAGGUAACUGCAAUCGAGUGUGUAUCUUGUCAUGUAGAAUUUUGCAAUGUUAGAUGCAAUGAUUUAUCCAGUUUAAACUCUCAUUUGAAAUCUCAUAUCGGAGAGGGCAGGGCCGUUUCUUGUCCAUUUCGUCAGUGUGGGAGAACGUUUUCAGUCGUCUCUUCCUUUAUUUCUAAUUUUUCCACAGUACACAAGUCUUGUACAGUAUCCAGUCUUCUGGGCCAUGUAACAGUAGGAACAGAGACGAGACUAACGGCAACCAAUGAACAAGUUGAGGAUGUUUCAGUGUUGGAGGGGGAUUUGACUGACGACGUAACGU